AUGCACCGACAUCAACCACGUCCACGUCUAGCACAUCAGUCAACAACCAGGCCACCCGUCUUGACCAACCUGGCAGUUCAACAUGGCAGCAACCACAGCAAUAUGGUCCCACGUCGAGCUUCGUGUUUUCUCCACAGCCACAGCAGCACGGUCCCUCGUCGAGGUUCGUGUUUUCUCCACAGCCACAGCAGCACGGUCCCUCGUCGAGCUUCGUGUUUGAGCCAGAGCAACCGUCACAACCAGCAGGAGCCUACGGAUAUCAUGCGUCUAUGUCAGCAUCACAUGAUACGUGGGGGAGUGAUUAACAUCCCGAGGAGAACAUACAUGCUCAGAUGUCGCAGCACACCCAGUGGAUGA
Molecule: ribosomal RNA, 357 nt
Filed under: Triticum aestivum (bread wheat)
Lineage: Eukaryota; Viridiplantae; Streptophyta; Magnoliopsida; Poales; Poaceae
Description: partial small subunit ribosomal RNA
Source: RNAcentral